RNAcentral lists this transfer RNA (64 nucleotides) under Ovis aries (sheep). It matches the Rfam family "tRNA". From Rfam's summary of the family: Transfer RNA (tRNA) molecules are approximately 80 nucleotides in length. Their secondary structure includes four short double-helical elements and three loops (D, anti-codon, and T loops). Lineage: Eukaryota; Metazoa; Chordata; Mammalia; Artiodactyla; Bovidae. The record is from Rfam by way of RNAcentral.
UCCCUGGUGGCUAAGACUCUGCUCUCCCAAUGCAGCAGGCCAGGUUCAAUUCCUGGUCAGGGAA